Molecule: transfer-messenger RNA, 390 nt
Filed under: Candidatus Megaera endosymbiont of Hartmannula sinica
Lineage: Bacteria; Pseudomonadati; Pseudomonadota; Alphaproteobacteria; Rickettsiales; Rickettsiaceae
Rfam family: Alphaproteobacteria transfer-messenger RNA
About the family: Bacterial tmRNA, also known as 10Sa RNA or SsrA, is named for its dual tRNA and mRNA-like properties. Its role is to liberate the mRNA from a stalled ribosome. To accomplish this part of the tmRNA is used as a reading frame that ends in a translation stop signal.
Source: RNAcentral
UUACUUGCCAAGCAUCUAAUUAUGAAAUAUAAUCAUAGAUGAUUUAUUCUUAUAAUAAAUCUAUGGUAAUAAACCUUAUUUGAAAUAGGAAAUGCGGACCUGGGGGCAGUACCCAGCGUCUCCACCAUAAAUUCAAAAUAAUAUGGGGACGAAACAGCUUCGACGUGUUUUAGUAAAGAAAUACUUUUACCACAGUGAUGAUAUUUACUGGAGCUACUUUUAUUUUUCGUAAUAAAAUAGCUAGGACGAAGUCAAUAAACUAAAUGCAAAUGUUUUCGGUCGUAAAAACGAUCACACUUUUGCUCUAGCUGCUUAGUUUUAUAACUAAGUUAAUAAAAUUUAGCUAGGCGGGGCUUUGAGAGUUUGCCUUGCAACAGAAAAACUCUCACU